This 253-nucleotide ribosomal RNA is filed under the name uncultured bacterium. Its description in RNAcentral is "partial 16S ribosomal RNA". It matches the Rfam family "Bacterial small subunit ribosomal RNA", at positions 524 to 776 of the family's 1533-position model. The record is from RNAcentral.
CACGUAGGGCGCAAGCGUUGUCCGGAAUUAUUGGGCGUAAAGAGCUCGUAGGCGGCUUGUCGCGUCGACUGUGAAAACCCGCGGCUCAACUGCGGGCCUGCAGUCGAUACGGGCAGGCUAGAGUUCGGUAGGGGAGACUGGAAUUCCUGGUGUAGCGGUGAAAUGCGCAGAUAUCAGGCGGAACACCCGUGGCGAAGGCGGCCAGCUGGGCCGUCCCUGACGCUGAGGCGCGAAGGCGUGGGGAGCGAACGGG